UCUACAAUACACAUUACACACGCUGUUCCUCCACAAUGAUACCCUCCAGGAUGCCUUUCGCCAACCCUCCCUUCCUUCUGCCGACUACCAAGAAGCCCUCAGAUUAUUCGCCACGGUGCAGGAGAAGGCACACAACUAGGUUGCCCAGUCGGUCGUUCGCCGUCGCUACCGGCGAUUUCUUCAUGGGCCUCGCGUGAUCGUCGGUGAGGCGGAGUCCGCCGUCUUCUGGGAGCAGAGCGAGAAGGACGUCGAAGCGGAGAGGGAGCGGUCGAAGAUUACGAGCCCCGGCUUCAGCUUCUCCGCUGCGGGGCUUUCGGUUCCUUUCCAUCUCGGCGUCGUGCAGUUUCUCCUGGAGAAGGGGUACAUUCGGGUAAUGAAGAGGGAAAGAGUUUAUCGCUCUGUGUUGCUUCUGUCGUGUGCAACUGCAAUUGGCUUAUAUCUGUGAUCUUGAUGCCGUUAUUCCCUGUGUUCUGACUCAUGCUUAGACCCAACCGUGUGCUUUUCUGAUUGCCUAGCAAUUUGAUACUUUGGUGAGAACAUCAAAGUUUUAGCUGUUUUCAAGGAGGAGCACCCAUUGUAAAUGGGAAUUCCGCCUAGUUUUAUCUUCGCAGGUCUGAAUUUCUUUCGAGUCUUCGACAAAUUGAGUGCUGACGGAUUUCUUGGUCGGAUGAUUUGUUGCGAACAAAUUCUGCAUAAGUUCUCGGAAGUGCUUGCUUCGAUUAAAUAAUGAACUUCUUUCUUUCUUUUUUUUCUUCCCCCUCCAUGAUCCGAUCUUGUCUCAACUAGGGUUAUGGCUGCAGGAGAACACUCUGUUAGCUGGUUCAUCUUUCGGGGCUAUAGUGUGUGCAGUUAUUGCAUCCGGAAACACCAUGGAGGACGCUCUGCAAUCCACCUUUGGCACUAAUGCUUUUCAAAGUUGCGAUUGAAAUGCAAAAUUGCAAUAUGGCUUUGCAUAAAGUAUUCCCAAAGCGGGCUUUUAUUGUCCUGAAUUCUGGUAGCAUUUGCAUGAGCUUCUUGGCUGUGACGCGCAGUUACUGUGAGAGUCUCCCAGUCCCUCCUUUGUGCUUCCAUGUUAUGGUGAGAAUGGACCUGAGGUAUUUUGGUCUAUGGACGAAGAUCUCAUCAUUUCACAUUUGACCAACUUUUUUCAACCUGUGAAUUUUUUUUUCUUCAUAUACGUAGGACAGCAUGGUUAUGGAGAACAUUCACAUAACAUAUGUUUGUAUGCCGCUGAUUGAUUUAUCCCUUUUUACAGGCUGUCCUGAGGGAUAUACUUGAAAACUUUUUACGAGAUGAUGUUCAUAAGAAAUCAAAUAGUAGGAUAAGUGGUAACCAUCAUUCACCUGUUUUUGUUUCAGAACAACUUGAUCCAUCUUUUUUCAUGGUAUGUACAGUUGUUUUGCUUCAGCAUGAGUACUCUUGUUUUCAUCCCCAAGGAGAAUAGAGAUGAAUGGGACCUGUUAAGUUUAGUACCUAUGGGACUUAUAGGCCAUAUGUAAAGGAAUUGGCCCUCAUAUUGCAGAUAGGCAGUCAGAGCUGCUUCAGAAUUGUGACCUUCCGACUCCACAUCAGAGGAGAAGUCUGAAGAAUUCCAUGGGGUGAGAGAGGAACAAGCCUGCUGAACCAACAAAAUCUUUUUAGUCAGAUAAUGAUUGUUUUCUGUUACAGAGUCAUAAUGUAUACAACAAGGAGGAAAAUUCAGGAAGACAAGGGCGCUGAUCCUUCUAUGUUUGAGGAGAUAGUUGCACGGGUUAAGAAUUUGAGCUGUGUAGCUACUUUAAAGCAUAAGUUGAAGUAUAAUAUUCAUCAACAGUAAACAUUUCUCACCUUGCUGGCUUUUUCUGACCUUGAGAACACCAACCAGGAACUGAAAAAUGAUAUGAAGGAUCGGUUCAUCAACUCAGCUGUGCAUUAAAGCCAAAUUGACAUCUAUGGGAACCCGAAGGCAGUGGUGAUCCAUGUUCCUUCAAAUUGCCGAAGGCUUUUCUAUAAAAUGGAUUACACAAGAGGAAUCAAAUGUACAAGUAUUAUGGACUAUAUGAUGCUUCAAAUGGUUCUAUAUGAUGUCAAUGACAUGAUUUUUUUUUU
Nymphaea colorata (pocket water lily) is the source of this 2088-nucleotide long non-coding RNA. RefSeq lists it as uncharacterized. NCBI's taxonomy places the organism in Eukaryota, Viridiplantae, Streptophyta, Magnoliopsida, Nymphaeales, Nymphaeaceae. The record is from RefSeq and is a predicted model, not a curated record. The transcript is spliced from 3 exons.